GCUGCAUCGAGAUUGAAUAUAAUGGGUCUGUGUAUACAGCGGCACAGCAAAUAGCAUCUAACACAACAGUUAUUGAAGAACACAGUCUAUAUUCUCAGUGCACACGGAAGGAGGUAUUCCCCUGUAUCCAGUGGGAGGGAGGAGGAACUAAAGGAUUUAGCACUCCCUAUUGUGUUAGCUUCAGAACAGCAAAGAGUUGAAGAAUCAGUGGGAUUAGAAAUCAGAUACAAAGAAUCUCAAGAUUGGAGAACCAAAGAGCCAUCUAGUUCCAUCCACACCUGAAGAGGAACACACACUUCAAUGUACUCAACAAUUGAACAUGCAACCUUGGCUUAAAGACCUCUAAUGUAGGGGAAGAGAGACCAAACUCUGUCUAGGACAACCCAUUCCACCCUUGGACAGUCCUGGUUAUUUGUAAAUUCUUGACUUCAAUCCCAAAUUUGCCUAUUUGAAACAUUCAGCAAAUGUUCUGAGCUCUGUUUUCUGGUUUCAAUAAUUCAUAUUCUUCUUCCACAUGACUUUUAGGCACCACAAAACUCUCUCUAAAAAACUUCUCCCAUUCCCUCCCUUCCUCCCCAUAACCCAUUCUCUCUCUCUCU
Molecule: long non-coding RNA, 599 nt
Filed under: Monodelphis domestica (gray short-tailed opossum)
Lineage: Eukaryota; Metazoa; Chordata; Mammalia; Didelphimorphia; Didelphidae
Description: lncRNA (ENSMODG00000044419.1)
Source: RNAcentral